CCGCGGUAAUACGGAGGGNGCAAGCGUUAUCCGGAAUUAUUGGGCGUAAAGAGUCCGUAGGUAGUCAUGCAAGUCUGCUGUCAAAGCCCACAGCUCAACUGUGGAUCGGCGGUGGAAACUGCAUGACUUGAGUGCGGUAGGGGUAGAGGGAAUUCCCAGUGUAGCGGUGAAAUGCGUAGAUAUUGGGAAGAACACCGGUGGCGAAAGCGCUCUACUGGACCGUAACUGACACUGAGGGACGAAAGCCAAGGUAGCGAAAGGGAUUAGAUACCCCUGUAGUCUUGGCCGUAAACGAUGGAUACUAGGCGUUGUCUGUAUCGACCCGGACAGUGCCGAAGCUAACGCGUUAAGUAUCCCGCCUGGGGAGUACGCACGCAAGUGUGAAACUCAAAGGAAUUGACGGGGGCCCGCACAAGCGGUGGAGUAUGUGGUUUAAUUCGAUGCAACGCGAAGAACCUUACCAAGAUUUGACAUCCCGUGAACUUUCCAGAGAUGGAUUGGUGCCUUCGGGAACACGGAGACAGGUGGUGCAUGGCUGUCGUCAGCUCGUGUCGUGAGAUGUUGGGUUAAGUCCCGCAACGAGCGCAACCCUCGUCNUUAGUUGCCAUCAUUAAGUUGGGCACUCUAGGGAGACUGCCGGGGACAACUCGGAGGAAGGUGGGGAUGACGUCAAGUCAUCAUGCCCCUUAUAUUUUGGGCUACACACGUACUACAAUGGUCGGGACAAAGGGCAGCAACCCCGCGAGGGCAAGCGAAUCUCUCAAACCCG
RNAcentral lists this ribosomal RNA (769 nucleotides) under uncultured bacterium. RNAcentral's name for it is "bacterial SSU rRNA". It matches the Rfam family "Bacterial small subunit ribosomal RNA", at positions 515 to 1284 of the family's 1533-position model. The record is from RNAcentral.